Molecule: small nucleolar RNA, 106 nt
Organism: Gossypium raimondii (Peruvian cotton)
Lineage: Eukaryota; Viridiplantae; Streptophyta; Magnoliopsida; Malvales; Malvaceae
Rfam family: Plant small nucleolar RNA R71
About the family: R71 is a member of the C/D box family of snoRNAs containing the C (UGAUGA) and D (CUGA) box motifs.
Source: Rfam
AUCCUAUGGUAAGGGAAUUUACAUAGUAGCUCUUUGAAUCUUUCCCAUGCCUCGUAUAGGGACUCAUCAUCCAUCUGCUAAAAAGUGAUGAUCUUAUUCUACAACU